This 725-nucleotide ribosomal RNA is filed under the name Klebsiella oxytoca. RNAcentral describes it as "bacterial SSU rRNA". It matches the Rfam family "Bacterial small subunit ribosomal RNA", at positions 68 to 787 of the family's 1533-position model. Lineage: Bacteria; Pseudomonadati; Pseudomonadota; Gammaproteobacteria; Enterobacterales; Enterobacteriaceae. The record is from RNAcentral.
AGCACAGAGAGCUUGCUCUCGGGUGACGAGUGGCGGACGGGUGAGUAAUGUCUGGGAAACUGCCUGAUGGAGGGGGAUAACUACUGGAAACGGUAGCUAAUACCGCAUAACGUCGCAAGACCAAAGAGGGGGACCUUCGGGCCUCUUGCCAUCAGAUGUGCCCAGAUGGGAUUAGCUAGUAGGUGGGGUAACGGCUCACCUAGGCGACGAUCCCUAGCUGGUCUGAGAGGAUGACCAGCCACACUGGAACUGAGACACGGUCCAGACUCCUACGGGAGGCAGCAGUGGGGAAUAUUGCACAAUGGGCGCAAGCCUGAUGCAGCCAUGCCGCGUGUAUGAAGAAGGCCUUCGGGUUGUAAAGUACUUUCAGCGGGGAGGAAGGUGUUAAGGUUAAUAACCUUGUCAAUUGACGUUACCCGCAGAAGAAGCACCGGCUAACUCCGUGCCAGCAGCCGCGGUAAUACGGAGGGUGCAAGCGUUAAUCGGAAUUACUGGGCGUAAAGCGCACGCAGGCGGUCUGUCAAGUCGGAUGUGAAAUCCCCGGGCUCAACCUGGGAACUGCAUUCGAAACUGGCAGGCUGGAGUCUUGUAGAGGGGGGUAGAAUUCCAGGUGUAGCGGUGAAAUGCGUAGAGAUCUGGAGGAAUACCGGUGGCGAAGGCGGCCCCCUGGACAAAGACUGACGCUCAGGUGCGAAAGCGUGGGGAGCAAACAGGAUUAGAUACCC